This 524-nucleotide ribosomal RNA is filed under the name Enterococcus casseliflavus. RNAcentral's name for it is "bacterial SSU rRNA". It matches the Rfam family "Bacterial small subunit ribosomal RNA", at positions 70 to 575 of the family's 1533-position model. Lineage: Bacteria; Bacillati; Bacillota; Bacilli; Lactobacillales; Enterococcaceae. The record is from RNAcentral.
CACCGGAGCUUGCUCCACCGAAAAAAAAAGAGUGGCGAACGGGUGAGUAACACGUGGGUAACCUGCCCAUCAGAAGGGGAUAACACUUGGAAACAGGUGCUAAUACCGUAUAACACUAUUUUCCGCAUGGAAUAAAGUUGAAAGGCGCUUUUGCGUCACUGAUGGAUGGACCCGCGGUGCAUUAUCUAUUUGGUGAGGUAACGGCUCACCAAGGCAACGAUGCAUAGCCGACCUGAGAGGGUGAUCGGCCACACUGGGACUGAGACACGGCCCCCACUCCUACGGGAGGCAGCAGUAGGGAAUCUUCUGCAAUGGACGAAAGUCUGACCGAGCAACGCCCCGUGAGUGAAAAAGGUUUUCGGAUCGUAAAACUCUGUUGUUAGAGAAAAACAAGGAUGAGAGUAAAAUGUUCAUCCCUUGACGGUAUCUAACCAGAAAGCCACGGCUAACUACGUGCCAGCAGCCGCGGUAAUACGUAGGUGGCAAGCGUUGUCCGGAUUUAUUGGGCGUAAAGCGAGCGCAGG